RNAcentral lists this transfer RNA (77 nucleotides) under Salicibibacter halophilus. RNAcentral describes it as "tRNA-Arg". It matches the Rfam family "tRNA". From Rfam's summary of the family: Transfer RNA (tRNA) molecules are approximately 80 nucleotides in length. Their secondary structure includes four short double-helical elements and three loops (D, anti-codon, and T loops). The record is from RNAcentral. Lineage: Bacteria; Bacillati; Bacillota; Bacilli; Caryophanales; Bacillaceae. RNAcentral also lists the same sequence under 1 other name.
GCGCCCGUAGCUCAAUUGGACAGAGCGUCUGACUACGGAUCAGAAGGUUAGGGGUUCGACUCCUCUCGGGCGCGCCA